UAGGGAAUCUUCCGCAAUGGGCGAAAGCCUGACGGAGCAACGCCGCGUGAGUGAUGAAGGUCUUCGGAUCGUAAAACUCUGUUAUUAGGGAAGAACAAAUGUGUAAGUAACUAUGCACGUCUUGACAGUACCUAAUCAGAAAGCCACGGCUAACUACGUGCCAGCAGCCGCGGUAAUACGUAGGUGGCAAGCGUUAUCCGGAAUUAUUGGGCGUAAAGCGCGCGUAGGCGGUUUUUUAAGUCUGAUGUGAAAGCCCACGGCUCAACCGUGGAGGGUCAUUGGAAACUGGAAAACUUGAGUGCAGAAGAGGAAAGUGGAAUUCCAUGUGUAGCGGUGAAAUGCGCAGAGAUAUGGAGGAACACCAGUGGCGAAGGCGACUUUCUGGUCUGUAACUGACGCUGAUGUGCGAAAGCGUGGGGAUCAAACAGG
RNAcentral lists this ribosomal RNA (429 nucleotides) under Actinomycetes bacterium. Its description in RNAcentral is "Actinobacteria bacterium partial 16S ribosomal RNA". It matches the Rfam family "Bacterial small subunit ribosomal RNA", at positions 355 to 776 of the family's 1533-position model. The record is from RNAcentral. Lineage: Bacteria; Bacillati; Actinomycetota; Actinomycetes.